RNAcentral lists this long non-coding RNA (2115 nucleotides) under Oryctolagus cuniculus (rabbit). RNAcentral describes it as "lncRNA (ENSOCUG00000034097.1)". Lineage: Eukaryota; Metazoa; Chordata; Mammalia; Lagomorpha; Leporidae. The record is from RNAcentral.
GUUUAAUCUUAUAUCUAUGAUUUUUUUUAACUUUUUAUUUCUGAUAUUUUUCCUAUGCAAUUUGCUUUGGAAAUUCAACAUAGAUAAUUAGGUCAUUUAGACAAAUAAAUACUAUUUCACUUCUCUUGCAGUCUGAUGAUUUUUAUUUAUUUUGUUUUCUUACCAAGCUGACCCAAACCUGCAGUAUAAUAUUGAAUAAAAAAGGUGAAAGUGAUCACUGUGCUUCAUCCAUCCAUAGUUUUGGAAGGAAAACAUUUAUUAGUCUUUCUUCAUUAAGUAUGAUCUUAGCUAUAGGUUUCCACAGGUGCCUUUAUGAGAUUUAGGAAGUUCCUUCUAUUCAUAGAUUCUAAAAAUAAUAAUAAAAAUCAAUUUUAUCCCUUUUAAAAUUAAUGUGGUAUAUCAAUAUUAAUUUUUGGAUGUUAAGCUAAUCUUGCAUUCUGGGAUAAAUACCACUUUGUCACGGUGUAUAAUCUUUCUAUAUUUUCUGGAGUAAUACUUGUUUUAAUUAAUUAAUUAAAUUAGUUAAUUAAUUAAUUAAUACUGUAAUACUUGUUUUAAGAUUUUUGAAUCCAUAUACCAUCUACCAAGGAUAUGAAUUUGUAUUUUUAUAUUCUUGUUGGGUUUUUUUUUUUUUUUGGAUUCCAUUAGUGUCCUUCGUUUCAAAGUCUGCCUCUCCAGAGAUUGUUUCCAACUUUGUCUCUUAGUAAACACUGGCUCUAUCUGACUCUGUCCUCUGCACUGUCACAAUGGCUCAGUUGCCCAUUAGACUCACAAAAUCUUACCCAGCAAAAAACACUGUGCAAGGACUUCAAGAAAGGAGCUGCAUCCAACAUUAAUCUAUUUCUCUAAGAGUUUCUCUAUCUGUCAGAUGUUCCUCCAUAGACAAAGAUUUGGGAUUAUUUGAGUUUGCAUUUCAAAGGCUGACUAUGCUAGUUGAGUUAGCACAGGGAAGUUGCUUGGUUUGGUGACCUUCUAGCCUUUGAUCAAGGAAUGCUGUAUAACUAUGGUUAUGCAACUGAGCUUAGGGUCCCUAAUCCAAAAAUUCAGACUCAUUUAUUAAAAAAAGAAAAGAAAAGAAAACUAAUAUCCAGUUUGACCAAGUAUAUCCUGCCAGAGAAUUCCUUAGACAACACAAGAAAUAAGUAUAUAGAGAGUAUAGGAAGAAGCUCAUUAUGUUCUCGCUGGACAAAUAUAUAUAGAUCUGGAAAGCUUGAAAAUAUUCUUCUUGGUUUUAAAAGAAACAUAAGCUCAUACAAAUGCUGAAUGAAGAAGGUAAAGUGAAAUUUACUCAUAAUUUUGGUGCAUUUAGUUAUGAAGUGAUUGUGUGAGAUGUCUGCUGGACACUAUAAUUAUAAUGAUUUUUCCAUUCGACAGGGUCAUCUACAUCUAUGUUGCUUCAAAGUUACUGCCUCUAAAUGACCCAUGUCAUUGUAGGUUCUUUAGAAUGUUCUUUUCAUCUUUAUGAAGUAUUUUUUGGUUAUUCCACAUACAUUUUAGUUUAUCAGGGACUCUGAAACAUCUUGAAACAGAUAAAUUUUUGUUUAACCUAGUGCCUCUCCAGGUGACUUUUUGUUCAAUUUUUUUUCCUUCACUUCAUUGCAGCAAUAUCUUCUGGAGUUGGUAUUUUAUGGAAUAGUCUGAUAAAUAUUGGCUUUCACUUUUGAUUUUCAUGUGUAUCCUGUUACAAUUACUUUUCUUAGAGAAGAAAUGAUGAUCAUAUACAUUUUAGGGUUUUUUUUUUUUUGGCAGUAUGUAUGUAGACAGAUUCUUAUUAAGAAAAAUAUUAUUGGGGCUGGUGCUGUGGCACAGCAGGUUAAGGAUGCUGGCCUGCAGUCCUGGCACCACAUAUAGGCACUGGUUAGGGUCCUAACUGCUCCAUUUCUGAUCCAGCACCAUGCUAAUGUGCCUGCCUGGGAAAGCAGCAGAGGAUGACCCUGCCACUCAUGUGGGAAACCCCGGGGAAGUUCCUGACUUCUGCCUGGCCUAGCUCUGGCUGUUGUAGCCAUUUGGGGAGUGAACCAGCAGAUAGAAGAUAUCUCUGUCUCUCACCGCCCCUCUCUCCCUGUACUCCGCCUUUCAAAUAAAUAAAUAAAUAAAUAAGCUUUUUUUUUUUUU